Molecule: long non-coding RNA, 731 nt
Organism: Zea mays
Lineage: Eukaryota; Viridiplantae; Streptophyta; Magnoliopsida; Poales; Poaceae
Exons: 3
Source: RefSeq, a predicted model, not a curated record
GAAUUGAAUCAUUUUCCAAGAAUUGGUCUGUUUGGCUGUCUGUGGAAUUGAAUUGACCAUUUCAAUCUAAUUUCAAUCCCUGCAAAUGUGGCCUCCUCUCAAUUCAGACCCUCCACCAUCGGAAAAGGCUAGAAAGGCAACUAGGGUUUCCUGUCUCCACCGAAGAUCGUCGCCCUCAUCCAUCUCUCGUCUCCUGUCUUCCUCGCCCUCAUCGGAAAAGCAGCUCAAGAGCGUUAAAACAGCUCGUUGUUUUGGGAUUUGUUGCCUCAAGUUUCAUCUAGCUACCUCCAACAAAUCCUUCAAUCUCCAUGGCUACAUCGGAUGUUCUUCAAUAUUUAGUCUCUCUACGGUUUCCUGGAUGGUCCAUUUUCCAUUGAUGAUGUCGUUUGCACUUGCUUUAAUUUAUUUUUUAUUAACCACCUCAAAGUUGAUAGUGACACUGUAUGGGAUGAUGGCACUCCCAAUGGAAAGGAGGAAGAGGUGUCUUAUGAUGCAGCUAAGGAAGUGAAACAGCUUAUAUGUGAACUUAGAUCUCUGUGUUGAAUUGAUUGUGUGAACUUGUCUUUGUGAAACUUUUGUGUGCGAACUUGAUGGCUUUGUGAAAUUGUUGUGUGCGAACUUGAUGACUUUGUGAAACUGCUAUUUUAAGAUUUGAUAUCUUUGUAGAACUUUUAUGUGCGAACUUGAUGACUUUGUGAAAAUGUUAUGUGUGACUUGCCUUUGUGGAACUA